UGCGGAGGGAUCAUUACAAGAACGCCCGGGCUUCGGCCUGGUUAUUCAUAACCCUUUGUUGUCCGACUCUGUUGCCUCCGGGGCGACCCUGCCUUCGGGCGGGGGCUCCGGGUGGACACUUCAAACUCUUGCGUAACUUUGCAGUCUGAGUAAACUUAAUUAAUAAAUUAAAACUUUUAACAACGGAUCUCUUGGUUCUGGCAUCGAUGAAGAACGCAGCGAAAUGCGAUAAGUAAUGUGAAUUGCAGAAUUCAGUGAAUCAUCGAAUCUUUGAACGCACAUUGCGCCCCCUGGUAUUCCGGGGGGCAUGCCUGUUCGAGCGUCAUUUCACCACUCAAGCCUCGCUUGGUAUUGGGCAACGCGGUCCGCCGCGUGCCUCAAAUCGUCCGGCUGGGUCUUCUGUCCCCUAAGCGUUGUGGAAACUAUUCGCUAAAGGGUGUUCGGGAGGCUACGCCGUAAAACAACCCCAUUUCUAAGGUUGACCUCGGAUCAGGUAGGGAUACCCGCUGAACUUAA
RNAcentral lists this ribosomal RNA (516 nucleotides) under uncultured Capnodiales. Its description in RNAcentral is "eukaryotic LSU rRNA". The stretch from base 172 to 325 matches the Rfam family "5.8S ribosomal RNA". The record is from RNAcentral. Lineage: Eukaryota; Fungi; Ascomycota; Dothideomycetes; Capnodiales.